CCCAGAAUCAAGCAGGUGCCAGAGCGGGGAUGCGUGUCCUUACCAGCCAGGCUACACACCCACUCCUCAUCUAAUGCAGGUGCCAGAGCGGGGAUGCGUGUCCUUACCAGCCAGGCUACACUCCCACUCCUCAUCUAAUGCAGGCGCCCAGAGAGGGGAUGCGUGUCCUUACCAGCCAGGCUACACACCCACUCCUCAUCUAAUGCAGGUGCCAGAGCGGGGAUGCGUGUCCUUACCAGCCAGGCUACACUCCCACUCCUCAUCUAAUGCAGGCACCCAGAGAGGGCAUGCGUGUCCUUACCAGCUAGACUACACACCCACUCCUCAUCUAAUGCAGGUGCCAGAGCGGGGAUGCGUGUCCUUACCAGCCAGGCUACACUCCCACUCCUCAUCUAAUGCAGGCGCCCAGAGAUGGGACUCAUGUUCUUAACAGCCAGGCUACAUACCCCACUCCUCAUUUUUCUAUUUUUGAAACUCAGUAUAUCUCAGUUUUAUAAUACAACAAAACAGAAAUAGU
Non-coding RNA from Oryctolagus cuniculus (rabbit), 517 nucleotides. The record is from RefSeq and is a predicted model, not a curated record. NCBI's taxonomy places the organism in Eukaryota, Metazoa, Chordata, Mammalia, Lagomorpha, Leporidae.